This 906-nucleotide long non-coding RNA is filed under the name Ananas comosus (pineapple). Its description in RNAcentral is "long non-coding RNA (ACOM_LNC042867)". The record is from RNAcentral. Lineage: Eukaryota; Viridiplantae; Streptophyta; Magnoliopsida; Poales; Bromeliaceae.
CUCCUAUCAGCUAGCAUAAUAGAACAUUGUAAACCCUAAACCCUAAUCCUAAUCAUAAAUUCUUUAUUCUUAAAAAUGCAACAUAAAAUAUAAUAUACCAGCAAAUAUACCACCAGUGUCCUAAAAUAAAAUUAAUCACCUAUUCGGUGACGAAAUCGGGAGCACGCAAAGACAAUCCGCAGCUGCAACCCUAAACCCUCAAAAUAUACAUUUUGUAUUAAAUUAAAAAUUGAAAAUAAAAGAUUAUAGAAAUUUUAAAAAAAUGCCCUGUUUGAGUUGAAUCAUCUGUUUCGGUUGUGUCCGAAUUAGCUCCGAAAUCGUUCCCAAUUUCGGACGCCCAUGACUGAAGGAAUGCGUCACAGGUACUGGGAUGGACAGUGGAGCAGUUGAGAUGCGACCUCCUACCAAUGGAGAAAGGCGAGGCCGAGAGACACCUUCGAGACGGCUUCGGACACGAGAUGUGUGGAACGAGCGCUGCCGAACUUCUGCCCGAUGGAGUGGAGUACCCUGCGAGCGAGAGCGAGAGAAAGAGAAAGGGGAGAGAGCGAGAUGACGAGAGGCGAGGGAGCGAGAGAAAGCGAGGAAGCGAGAGAGAGCGAGAAACAGAAAUAGCGAGAGGAGCUGUGCGGGAGAGAGAAGUGUAGUAGGGUUUAAUUUAAGUUAGCUUUAGCAAGAAGUAAAAAAGGUGUGAGGUUAGAAGCUACUGUGCUAGUGGGUUAAUAUCAGCCAUUGGAUCUGAUAGUUGUAGGAUAUACACCUUUUUAUAGGAGUACAGGUAAACUUUUCCUAUGCUUUAAUAGCAUCUACGAAUUUCUUGUAAACACCCUUCUCUUUAUCAAAAUGACUCUGCAUGCCCAAAAAUAAAUAAAUAUUAAAUAAAUAAAAAUAAAAAUAAAAAUAAAAAUU